RNAcentral lists this ribosomal RNA (435 nucleotides) under uncultured Lachnospiraceae bacterium. RNAcentral describes it as "partial 16S ribosomal RNA". It matches the Rfam family "Bacterial small subunit ribosomal RNA", at positions 341 to 792 of the family's 1533-position model. The record is from RNAcentral. Lineage: Bacteria; Bacillati; Bacillota; Clostridia; Lachnospirales; Lachnospiraceae.
ACGGGAGGCAGCAGUAGGGAAUAUUGCACAAUGGGGGAAACCCUGACGCAGCGACGCCGCGUGAGUGAAGAAGUAUUUCGGUAUGUAAAGCUCUAUCAGUAGGGAAGAUAAUGACGGUACCUAACUAAGAAGCACCGGCUAAAUACGUGCCAGCAGCCGCGGUAAUACGUAUGGUGCAAGCGUUAUCCGGAUUUACUGGGUGUAAAGGGAGCGUAGGUGGUCUGGCAAGCCAGAAGUGAAAACCCGGGGCUCAACUCCGCGGAUUGCUUUUGGAACUGUUGGACUAGAGUGCAGGAGGGGUAAGCGGAAUUCCCAGUGUAGCGGUGAAAUGCGUAGAUAUUGGGAGGAACACCAGCGGCGAAGGCGGCUUACUGGACUGUAACUGACACUGAGGCUCGAAAGCGUGGGGAGCAAACAGGAUUAGAUACCCUGGUA